RNAcentral lists this transfer RNA (65 nucleotides) under Lactica sp. BMNH 846625. Its description in RNAcentral is "tRNA-Phe". Lineage: Eukaryota; Metazoa; Arthropoda; Insecta; Coleoptera; Chrysomelidae. The record is from RNAcentral.
AUUUAAAUAGCUUAUAAUGAGAGCAUAAUAGUGAAGUUAUUAAGGAAGUGUUAAACUUUUAAAUA